This is a long non-coding RNA of Herpailurus yagouaroundi (jaguarundi), 1792 nucleotides long. RefSeq lists it as uncharacterized. The transcript has 2 exons. The record is from RefSeq and is a predicted model, not a curated record. Lineage: Eukaryota; Metazoa; Chordata; Mammalia; Carnivora; Felidae.
CGAUCCCAUGACACUGGGAUCAUGACCUGAGCCAAAAUCAAGAGUUGGACACGCAACUGACUGAGUCAUCCAGGCACCCCCUGAGUGUAUUUUCUGAACCACUGUGACUAUGCCCUCAAAUUUCCUAUGGGCAUAAACAAAUUUAUUUUUAUGACAAUGACAUGUCCAAAUAGAGACCAAGAUAUGGUGAAAUUGGGGGGGGGGGGGGCAGAGAGAAAUUAGAGUGAGGAAACAAUAUCAUAUUAUAAUCAUUAUUAUUAUCAGCUUACACAAUGGCUGCACAUACUUGAUUUCAUUUAGAGAGAUAGCUGUUGAUACAUGUUCCCAAAAUGGUCUUAAGUGGAGGCCAGUGUGCACUCAUGCAUUCUCGGUAAGCAACGUGGGAUAGGUUGAAGUUGAUACUGUGAAAUUUAACUUUAUGUAGAAAUAUAGUAUCUAAAUUUUAAUUCUUAGUUAUGGCCUCUAAAUCAAGUUACUAUUUAAAAUCUGUUUUCUUUUGCCAUGAAAUGAGAUUAUAGUACCAAUAAACUGAUUUUUAUUUGUAGAUGACAAGGCAUUUGUUAAGGUUUGUGUCAGACACUAUAGAAUUCAGCAAUUUCAGAUUUUCCCAAGACUUCUGGAAGUGAUAAGAACCAUUAGGGUUGAAAAUCUGCCACCUCAUGUUGAUAAAAUUACAUAACAAUUUUCUUGGAAAACCCCACAAAUGGAGGAGAAGGAGUAACCAAUGCACAGCUUUUCCCAGAGAAGAGUUCAGCCCUGGUUGAGUUUUCUGACUACCAAGUGGUGGACACCUACUUGGCCAAAAAGCUUGUCUUCAAUGAAAGGCCCAUUACUGUGUUUCCAUAUUAUGUGACUUCGGGCGUAGCCUUAUAUGGAAAGGAGAAGCCCCUGAGAAAGUUGCUAGCACCAUUUUGGGUGGCUCUGCAUCCUCUCAUAUGGAAGAUCAUGCAGAAGAAGCAUCUCCUGAUUGGAAUGAUAAAUUAUAAAAGGGGAAGGUGACACUCUGAGGUAACAUGGCACCAAGUCAACUGUAAGAGGCUAGAGGUAACAUUCAGGUCUGCGACCAAUGAACUCACUCAAAGAAGAACAAAGAUCAAUGUCAUCAAGACUUGGAAAGGACAUUUCUAAAAACUUCUGCCAUAUCAUCUUUAAAUAUAAAGUCACCGAGUUGAAUAUGAAACCAGCAGUAUGGGAAGACAUAAAAAAACAGCAUAGACGAUGAUAGGACUUCAAUUGAGUCUGAUAUAGUCAAGGAGGUGGUCAUAAUAACAGGUUGUUUGGAGGAUGUGAAAAGAAUUUAACACAAGACACCAGUCAUAACAUUGAAAAGGAAAAAAACAAAAUUUGAUAGAGAAUGUGGCUGGUUCUUCUGAAAGGUUUUCUAGUCUUCAUAUCAGUGCUUUGAAACAGUCUAUACCUGAGGAAUUCUCAGGGUGGGAGAUCGAGGUCAUUUUUUUGUUUGUUUGUUUCAAGUUUUUAUUUAAAUUCUAGUUAGUUAACAGAAUGUAAUGUUGGUUUCAGGAGUAGAAUUAGGCAAUUCAUCACUUACAUAUAACAUCUAUUGCUAAUCACAACAAGGGCCCUUCUUAAUACCCAUUAUCCCACCGCUCACCAGGGUGGGAGGUCAUUGAUAAUGCUUGCAGCAAACAUACCACAGUACAUGCAGGAGAGUAUAAAAAAUGAAAUUCUUGAGCAAGUGAAGAGGACUGUUCAAGCCCAUUUCCAGUCCUUCUGGAGUUUCCUAUUUGUUAUAGAAAGUAGAGUGUGGAAAAUUCUCUAAGAUUAUUUUAAG